GAUGAACGCUGGCGGCGUGCUUAACACAUGCAAGUCGAACGAUCAAGCUCAGCUUGCUGGGUGGUUUAGUGGCGAACGGGUGAGUAACACGUGAGUAACCUGCCCUUCACUCUGGGUUAAGCCUGGUAAACUAGGUCUAAUACCGGACAGGUGCGCCUACCGCCUGGUGGGUGCUGGAAAGAUUUAUCGGUUUUAGAUGGAUUCGCGGGCAAUCGGCUUGUUGGUGAGGUAUUGGCAAACGAAGGCGUUGCCGGGUAGCCGGCCUGGGAGGGUGACCGGCCACACUGGGACUGAGACACGGAGCAGACUGCAACGGGAGGCAGCGGUGGGAAGUAUUACGCAAUAAGCGAAAGCCUGAUGCGACGACGCCGCGUGCGGGAUGACGGCCUACGGGUUAUAAACAUAUUUGAGUAGAGAAGAAGCGAAAGUGACGGUACCUGCAGAGAAAGCACCGGCUAACUACGUG
RNAcentral lists this ribosomal RNA (466 nucleotides) under uncultured bacterium. Its description in RNAcentral is "partial 16S ribosomal RNA". It matches the Rfam family "Bacterial small subunit ribosomal RNA", at positions 28 to 507 of the family's 1533-position model. The record is from RNAcentral.